This 460-nucleotide ribosomal RNA is filed under the name uncultured bacterium. Its description in RNAcentral is "partial 16S ribosomal RNA". It matches the Rfam family "Bacterial small subunit ribosomal RNA", at positions 338 to 795 of the family's 1533-position model. The record is from RNAcentral.
CCUACGGGUGGCAGCAGUGAGGAAUAUUGGUCAAUGGGCGCGAGCCUGAACCAGCCAAGUCGCGUGAGGGAAGACUGCCCUAUGGAUUGUAAACUUCUUUUGUCGGGGAGUAAAACACGCCACGUGUGCCUUUCUGAAAGUACCUUAUGAAAAAGCAUCGGCUAACUCCGUGCCAGCAGCCGCGGUAAUACGGAGGAUCCGAGCGUUAUCCGGAUUUAUUGGGUGUAAAGGGAGCGGAGAUGGGUUGUUAAGUCAGUUGUGAAAGUUUGCGGCUUAACCGGAAUAGUGCAUUUGAUACUGGGAGACUUGAGUACAGUAGAGGUAGGCGGAAUGCGUGGUGUAGCGGUGAAAUGCGUAGAUAUAAGGAAGAACCCCGAUGGCGAAGGCAGCUCUCUGAUCUGUGACUGACGCUGAGGUUCGAAAGCGUGGGUAGCAAACAGGAUUAGAUACCCCAGUAGUC